Molecule: ribosomal RNA, 865 nt
Filed under: uncultured bacterium
Lineage: Bacteria
Description: bacterial SSU rRNA
Rfam family: Bacterial small subunit ribosomal RNA
Source: RNAcentral
UGGCGGAAUGCUUUACACAUGCAAGUCGAACGGCAGCACGGACUUCGGUCUGGUGGCGAGUGGCGAACGGGUGAGUAACAUAUCGGAACGUAUCCAAUAAUGGGGGAUAACUAAUCGAAAGGUUGGCUAAUACCGCAUACGCCCUACGGGGGAAAGCAGGGGAUCUUCGGACCUUGCGUUAAUGGAGCGGCUGAUAUCUGAUUAGCUAGUUGGUGAGGUAAAGGCUCACCAAGGCGACGAUCAGUAGCUGGUCUGAGAGGACGACCAGCCACACUGGAACUGAGACACGGUCCAGACUCCUACGGGAGGCAGCAGUGGGGAAUUUUGGACAAUGGGCGCAAGCCUGAUCCAGCCAUUCCGCGUGAGUGAAGAAGGCCUUCGGGUUGUAAAGCUCUUUCGCAAGGGAAGAAAACUUACCUUUUAAUAAAGGGUGAGGUUGACGGUACCUUGAUAAGAAGCACCGGCUAACUACGUGCCAGCAGCCGCGGUAAUACGUAGGGUGCGAGCGUUAAUCGGAAUUACUGGGCGUAAAGCGUGCGCAGGCGGUUUUGUAAGUCAGAUGUGAAAUCCCCGAGCUCAACUUGGGAACUGCGUUUGAAACUACAAGACUAGAAUAUGUCAGAGGGGGGUAGAAUUCCACGCGUAGCAGUGAAAUGCGUAGAGAUGUGGAGGAAUACCAAUGGCGAAGGCAGCCCCCUGGGAUAAUAUUGACGCUCAUGCACGAAAGCGUGGGGAGCAAACAGGAUUAGAUACCCUGGUAGUCCACGCCCUAAACGAUGUCUACUAGUUGUUGGUGGAGUAAAAUCCAUGAGUAACGCAGCUAACGCGUGAAGUAGACCGCCUGGGGAGUACGGUCGCAAGAUUA